This 279-nucleotide ribosomal RNA is filed under the name uncultured bacterium. RNAcentral describes it as "partial 16S ribosomal RNA". It matches the Rfam family "Bacterial small subunit ribosomal RNA", at positions 506 to 784 of the family's 1533-position model. The record is from RNAcentral.
UGCCAGCCGCCGCGGUAAUACAGAGAGAACAAGCGUUAAUCGGAAUUACUGGGCGUAAAGCGCACGUAGGUGGAUACUUUAGUCGGAUGUGAAAGCCCCGGGCUUAACCUGGGAAUAGCAUUCGAUACUGGGUAUCUAGAGUAUAGUAGAGGGAAGUGGAAUUUCCGGUGUAGCGGUGAAAUGCGUAGAUAUCGGAAGGAACACCAGUGGCGAAGGCGACUUCCUGGACUAAUACUGACACUGAGGUGCGAAAGCGUGGGGAGCAAACAGGAUUAGAUA